RNAcentral lists this ribosomal RNA (465 nucleotides) under uncultured Klebsiella sp. RNAcentral's name for it is "bacterial SSU rRNA". It matches the Rfam family "Bacterial small subunit ribosomal RNA", at positions 338 to 795 of the family's 1533-position model. The record is from RNAcentral. Lineage: Bacteria; Pseudomonadati; Pseudomonadota; Gammaproteobacteria; Enterobacterales; Enterobacteriaceae.
CCUACGGGCGGCAGCAGUGGGGAAUAUUGCACAAUGGGCGCAAGCCUGAUGCGGCCAUGCCGCGUGUGUGAAGAAGGCCUUCGGGUUGUAAAGCACUUUCAGCGGGGAGGAAGGCGUUAAGGUUAAUAACCUUGGCGAUUGACGUUACCCGCAGAAGAAGCACCGGCUAACUCCGUGCCAGCAGCCGCGGUAAUACGGAGGGUGCAAGCGUUAAUCGGAAUUACUGGGCGUAAAGCGCACGCAGGCGGUCUGUCAAGUCGGAUGUGAAAUCCCCGGGCUCAACCUGGGAACUGCAUUCGAAACUGGCAGGCUAGAGUCUUGUAGAGGGGGGUAGAAUUCCAGGUGUAGCGGUGAAAUGCGUAGGGAUCUGGAGGAAUACCGGUGGCGAAGGCGGCCCCCUGGACAAAGACUGACGCUCAGGUGCGAAAGCGUGGGGAGCAAACAGGAUUAGAUACCCCAGUAGUC